RNAcentral lists this ribosomal RNA (771 nucleotides) under Streptomyces tauricus. Its description in RNAcentral is "bacterial SSU rRNA". It matches the Rfam family "Bacterial small subunit ribosomal RNA", at positions 74 to 859 of the family's 1533-position model. Lineage: Bacteria; Bacillati; Actinomycetota; Actinomycetes; Kitasatosporales; Streptomycetaceae. The record is from RNAcentral.
AGCCCUUCGGGGUGGAUUAGUGGCGAACGGGUGAGUAACACGUGGGCAAUCUGCCCUUCACUCUGGGACAAGCCCUGGAAACGGGGUCUAAUACCGGAUGAUACUUCCACUCGCAUGGGUGGGGGUUGAAAGCUCCGGCGGUGAAGGAUGAGCCCGCGGCCUAUCAGCUUGUUGGUGAGGUAGUGGCUCACCAAGGCGACGACGGGUAGCCGGCCUGAGAGGGCGACCGGCCACACUGGGACUGAGACACGGCCCAGACUCCUACGGGAGGCAGCAGUGGGGAAUAUUGCACAAUGGGCGAAAGCCUGAUGCAGCGACGCCGCGUGAGGGAUGACGGCCUUCGGGUUGUAAACCUCUUUCAGCAGGGAAGAAGCGAAAGUGACGGUACCUGCAGAAGAAGCGCCGGCUAACUACGUGCCAGCAGCCGCGGUAAUACGUAGGGCGCAAGCGUUGUCCGGAAUUAUUGGGCGUAAAGAGCUCGUAGGCGGUCUGUCGCGUCGGAUGUGAAAGCCCGGGGCUUAACCCCGGGUCUGCAUUCGAUACGGGCAGACUAGAGUGUGGUAGGGGAGAUCGGAAUUCCUGGUGUAGCGGUGAAAUGCGCAGAUAUCAGGAGGAACACCGGUGGCGAAGGCGGAUCUCUGGGCCAUUACUGACGCUGAGGAGCGAAAGCGUGGGGAGCGAACAGGAUUAGAUACCCUGGUAGUCCACGCCGUAAACGGUGGGAACUAGGUGUUGGCGACAUUCCACGUCGUCGGUGCCGCAGCUAACGCA